GUCACAUUUGCAUCGCUUACAUUCACCACUUGAUAUAUAUCAUAUUUAAUACAAAGGGAAAAACGAUCAAGAUAAGGUAACAUUGAGUUCAAAUGAUCCGAAUUCAAGAUCCAUGAGUAACAAUAAAAGGGAGAAUUCCAAACAUAGAGUGAAACAACAGUUGGCCUAUUUUGAGAUUUCAAGCAAAUUCCGGAACUUAUGCCUUCAAUCUUUCGAAAUCGAGACUUGAAAAUUGCCAAGCAAGCGUAGGACAGAUCGUUUAUAUCACCACAUUUUGCAGCUAUUGAGAUCAUUGAUAUGAUGCUUUUAUUUGUAAAUUUUGCAACAUUAGAACCAUCCAUGGACUCUCCACCAUAAGCUUCGAAGAAGCUAAGAUCGAUUAAGGUUGCCAUGUUUGAUGUUUUUGUCAAGUUUUGAAGAAGUGCUUCAGAUAAUAAUUCUGUGUUUUGAAUUGAUCUCUUUGCCCAAAGUCCACACCAUAUGAUCAUAUUUCCAUGGA
This 499-nucleotide unclassified non-coding RNA is filed under the name Hevea brasiliensis (rubber tree). The record is from RNAcentral. Lineage: Eukaryota; Viridiplantae; Streptophyta; Magnoliopsida; Malpighiales; Euphorbiaceae.